GAAUCUGCCCUCCAAGCAGCGCCAGCUCCUCGUGGGCCCGCUGCGAGGUUCUUUAGGGGCCAAGUGACACCUGUGGGGACGCGGCUGUCACCCGCACGUCCCCGUCCCCGCCGGGUGGCUCGGUGCGAGCCGCAGCUUCUCCUGCUGGAGCCUCGGAACCGGAGGCCGCUUCCUGUCCCCGCCGAUAGCUGACCACUUCCUGCAGCUGCCGUGCCGCUGGGGGCCUGGCCCGAGCCGUGGGGGGGCUGCCAGAGGGGCCCCCCCCCUCUCCGGAAGCCGCGGCCCCGGCACCAUCGGCAGCUGUUGGACGCAGGCGGCCGCGCCUCCAGCCUCGUGCCUCCGGCUGCUGACCGCAGCGGCCGCCUUCCUGCCGGCUCCAGCUCCGCGGGAUCGGCCGAAUUUGGGGCCGGCCUGGACAGGAUGUCGCAGGGCCACAUGCUGGCAGACGUGGUGGCCAUCAUCGGUACGUGUCCCCCGGGGGCGUCCCGCGCGCCCCAUGGACCCCCUGUGGGUUCCAGGGGGGGGGGUCGGGGAGCCGGGCUCGGCCCUGCCCUCACCUCCCUUCUCCUCUCUCCAGGCACGCAGGACAUCGUGUUCGGGGAGGUGGAUCGGUGAGGGGCUCAGCGCCGUGCCCCCGCUGCGUGUGCUGCUCCCUGCGCUCCCCCCUGCGCCCCCCCCGUGCUGUCCCUUCACCGAUUUGAGUCGAAUAAAGGCUAAAACGGGUCCCGGCUCCGCGCUUCUGUCCCUGCGUCAGCCCUCGGCUGCCGGAACCGGGUGAAACCCCGCUCCUCUGCCCUUUCCCACACAAGGCUCGUGGUCGAGAGCUUCCCCUUCCCUCGAUGUGGGGCCCGCGGGCGCAUCACCCUCUCCGGGAGGAUCCUCCCCGC
RNAcentral lists this long non-coding RNA (887 nucleotides) under Anas platyrhynchos platyrhynchos (common mallard). RNAcentral's name for it is "lncRNA (ENSAPLG00000029410.1)". Lineage: Eukaryota; Metazoa; Chordata; Aves; Anseriformes; Anatidae. The record is from RNAcentral.